This 445-nucleotide ribosomal RNA is filed under the name uncultured bacterium. Its description in RNAcentral is "bacterial SSU rRNA". It matches the Rfam family "Bacterial small subunit ribosomal RNA", at positions 952 to 1392 of the family's 1533-position model. The record is from RNAcentral.
CGGGUACCCCGAUGACCCACACCCGGGUUUGACAUGCCCGAGAACCCUGAUGAAAGUCGGGGGUGCCCCGUAAGGGGAACCUUGGACACAGGUGCUGCAUGGCUGUCGUCAGCUCGUGCCUGAGGUGCUGGGUUAAGUCCCGCAAACGAGCGCAACCCUCAUCCUUAGUUGCCAUCAUUAAGUUGGGCACCCUAAGGAAACUGCCGCAGUUAAUGCCGGAGGAAGGUGGGGAUGACGUCAAGUCCUCAUGGCCCUUAUAUCCAGGGCUACACACGUGCUACAAUGAGCGGCACAAAGGGUCGCAAACCCGCGAGGGGGAGCUAAUCCCAGAAAUCCGCUCCUAGUUCGGAUUGGAGUCUGCAACUCGACUCCAUGAAGCUGGAAUCGCUAGUAAUCGCGGAUCAGCAUGCCGCGGUGAAUACGUUCCCGGGCCUUGUACACACCG